UACAGAGGGUGCAAGCGUUAUCCGGAAUUAUUGGGCGUAAAGAGCUCGUAGGCGGUUUGUCGCGUCUGCCGUGAAAGUCCGGGGCUCAACUCCGGAUCUGCGGUGGGUACGGGCAGACUAGAGUGAUGUAGGGGAGACUGGAAUUCCUGGUGUAGCGGUGAAAUGCGCAGAUAUCAGGAGGAACACCGAUGGCGAAGGCAGGUCUCUGGGCAGUAACUGACGCUGAGGAGCGAAAGCAUGGGGAGCGAACAGG
RNAcentral lists this ribosomal RNA (253 nucleotides) under uncultured bacterium. RNAcentral's name for it is "partial 16S ribosomal RNA". It matches the Rfam family "Bacterial small subunit ribosomal RNA", at positions 524 to 776 of the family's 1533-position model. The record is from RNAcentral.